UACGGGGGGGGCAAGCGUUGUUCGGAAUUACUGGGCGUAAAGGGCUCGUAGGUGGUCAACUAAGUCGGACGUGAAAUCCCUCGGCUUAACCGGGGAACUGCGUCCGAUACUGGAUGACUUGAGUUCGGGAGAGGGAUGCGGAAUUCCAGGUGUAGCGGUGAAAUGCGUAGAUAUCGGAAGGAACACCGGUGGCGAAAGCGGCGCGCUGGACCUCUUCUGACGCUGAGGCGCGAAAGCCAGGGGAGCAAACGGGAUUAGAAACC
RNAcentral lists this ribosomal RNA (263 nucleotides) under uncultured bacterium. RNAcentral describes it as "partial 16S ribosomal RNA". It matches the Rfam family "Bacterial small subunit ribosomal RNA", at positions 524 to 786 of the family's 1533-position model. The record is from RNAcentral.